This 548-nucleotide ribosomal RNA is filed under the name uncultured bacterium. RNAcentral describes it as "bacterial SSU rRNA". It matches the Rfam family "Bacterial small subunit ribosomal RNA", at positions 355 to 896 of the family's 1533-position model. The record is from RNAcentral.
UGGGGAAUUUUGGACAAUGGGCGAAAGCCUGAUCCAGCCAUACCGCGUGCGGGAAGAAGGCCUUCGGGUUGUAAACCGCUUUUGUCAGGGAAGAAAUCCUUUGGGUUAAUACCUCGGAGGGAUGACGGUACCUGAAGAAUAAGCACCGGCUAACUACGUGCCAGCAGCCGCGGUAAUACGUAGGGUGCAAGCGUUAAUCGGAAUUACUGGGCGUAAAGCGUGCGCAGGCGGUUCUAUAAGACAGAUGUGAAAUCCCCGGGCUCAACCUGGGAACUGCAUUUGUGACUGUAGAGCUAGAGUACGGUAGAGGGGGAUGGAAUUCCGCGUGUAGCAGUGAAAUGCGUAGAUAUGCGGAGGAACACCGAUGGCGAAGGCAAUCCCCUGGACCUGUACUGACGCUCAUGCACGAAAGCGUGGGGAGCAAACAGGAUUAGAUACCCUGGUAGUCCACGCCCUAAACGAUGUCAACUGGUUGUUGGGAGGGUUUCUUCUCAGUAACGAAGCUAACGCGUGAAGUUGACCGCCUGGGGAGUACGGCCGCAAGGUUG